ACAGGAUCUGGAAACAGAUCCUUCUUCGGACACUUUACAAGGUGCUGCAUGGCUGUCGUCAGCUCGUCCCGUGAGGUGUUGGGUUAAGUCCCGCAACGAGCGCAACCCCUAUCUUUAGUUSCCAGCGAGUAAUGUCGGGGACUCUAAAGAAACUGCCUACGCAAGUAGUGAGGAAGSCGGGGMCGACGUCAAGUCAUCACGGCCCUUACGUCCUGGGCCACACACGUGCUACAAUGGUAGAUSCAGAGGGCAGCUACCCCGCGAGGGGAUGCGAAUCUCGAAAGUCUAUCUCAGUUCGGAUUGGCAGUYUGCAACUCGACUCUAUGAAGCUGGAAUCGCUAGUAAUCGCGCAUCAGCCAUGGGCGCGGUGAAUACGUUCCCGGGCCUUGUACCCACCMCCCGUCAAGCCAUGGAAGCUGGGAGUGCCU
RNAcentral lists this ribosomal RNA (428 nucleotides) under uncultured bacterium. RNAcentral describes it as "bacterial SSU rRNA". It matches the Rfam family "Bacterial small subunit ribosomal RNA", at positions 993 to 1422 of the family's 1533-position model. The record is from RNAcentral.